Molecule: transfer RNA, 72 nt
Filed under: Sphaerodactylus townsendi
Lineage: Eukaryota; Metazoa; Chordata; Lepidosauria; Squamata; Sphaerodactylidae
Description: tRNA-Ala
Source: RNAcentral
GGGGCUGUGGCUCAGUGGCAGCACUUCUGUUUGGCACACAGAAGGUCCCAGGUUUGAUCCCCAGCAUCUCUG